This 5301-nucleotide long non-coding RNA is filed under the name Amborella trichopoda. RNAcentral describes it as "long non-coding RNA (ATRI_LNC002138)". Lineage: Eukaryota; Viridiplantae; Streptophyta; Magnoliopsida; Amborellales; Amborellaceae. The record is from RNAcentral.
CCCGAUCCUCACUCGAUCCAAGGCUAAACCAACUUUCAUACACGAUCAGACAAUUUAGAUGUGGGGGUUAGAGGAAAACAAACCACAAAGCACACACGCAAAGAUAGCAAAGGGGCCUUAGCCCAAUUUCACUAAACAGUCUAGAUGUGUACAAGCCACGGUUCCUCUUUCACCGAGGCCGGGCAAGGGGUUUUACAGCCCCACUAUACAUUUGAAACUACACGUGGAGCUCAUGCACCACGCCAUGGGCUGUUGGCUCAGCCUCAGCCUCGGCCGCGUCUAGCUUGAGACUUAGUCUUGCGCCCUAUCCUGCGCGCCUAGCGUGCCAGCUCGACACAACCGCCUAAUGUGCCGGCCCCGUGUCUCACGCCCAUCUCACAUGCCAGCUCUUCACGCCCCUUCCGUGUGAUCAUCCCGCGUCUUAUGCCCCAUCCACGUGCUGCAACAUCCCGCAACUCACACCUCUGCAACUCACGCCCCGUCCGCAUGCUCCACCGUCAAGUCGGCCUGGCCAUCUGAGCACUUGUUGGGUCGUCACGACCUGCCAGAGUCGUCCCAUCCGAUUCCCACAUACCUGGUCCUGAGGCGUGUCCGCACCUAGAGCCCAACUAGCACAACUUAGUCUUAGGCAGCACAAACCUUAGACCAAGGCCAUGCAGCACCACCAAGCUGCCCCACGUGCCUGCACCAUGAAUCCAUCACACCUUCAGCAGUCUUACUUACACAAGGCACCUGUACCACGCUGCCUUCAUCACACAUACAGGUUGCCUGGGCUUGGCAUGCCUCUUGCACUCAGCCACUUUGCCUCACACCCUUGUGCACACAAGGCUGCCUGCCUAGCCGCAGGCCGGCCUGCCUUUUACCUGCAAACGCCAAGCUGCACGCACCCUGUGCACCUGGCUGCAUGCACCAGCUCGGUGCUUAUGGAAAAGGGGCCUGACAAGCCUCCCCCAACUAAACUUCGACGUCCUCGUCGGACGCUUCACCCUUCGCUAGGUCCCCAUAAAUCUAACUCAGAAUAUGGCCUCCACUUAGCCCACUUUAAUAGGUUCACUUGCCUCCAAGCCCUACUCGUUCACUUGGCCAGUACCGUCUGCUGCUACCAAGCUGAAUUCGUCCUUAAGACGCCUGCCUCUCACUGGGUCCCCAUAAAACGCCGGUUCAAGGCAACGCCUCAAGACACUCCACCAAGCCAUGGCUCGACAAGGUCUACUGCUAUCACUAAGUCUUCGGCUUGCCUACUUAGCCAGAUCCACUGCUGCCACCAAGUAGUCAGCCCUCUUGGCCAGGUCCACUGCUGCCACCAAGUUCUUGUUUAUGCACCAGGUCAGGUCCUUCGCUGCCACCAAAUGCAAAGGUUUGUGACCAGUUCCGAGGCUGCCACCACGACCCAUGUCGCCUCCUGUAACUUCAGGACUUCUCUACAGCCUGCUCGCAGGUCGUCUAAUGUCUACGAUAUUCAUACAUGACGCCGAACUUCCUCUUUAUGGCACCAUUAGGGCAAGGUUGAUCACACCUUCUACUAGCCGAUGAUGUCGUACCCUCCGAUGAGUCAGAGGGUAUCUCCCAUCGAAUAGAUGAGUCAAAUGAUGCUUCCAUCUGACCCACCUUCACCACCGCUAGGGCUCUCCUGAUGGCUCCACUUGAGUUAUCACUGGACUCCUCUGAGUCUAUGCACAACUUGGUCUCCUCCCUAGCUUGUGGGUUGGUCGAACUGAGCUGCAUGGCAUUCAUUAAGUUCAAUGAACCCAACUUCACUUGGGUUCACUCGUCCUCAUGUAUGAGGUUCACCGCGUUGAAGGCCUACUUUUGUGGGUAAUCCCUCACUUGAUGGUCGCCUCUGCAUCUGAAGCAGCUUGAGAAGCCCUUUUGGAGUGCCUCCUCCUCUUGAGCGACCCCCUUCUCGGGUAUGGUCCACCUAUCGCGUACCACCUUCUCGCCAUUCUCCCUCAAUGGCCCUCCUUCGUGGUUUUGACUCCACCGCCCCAUGAAAGUUCAAAUCAACUAGGUCCUCAACUGCCGCCAUGGCUGUGGGCAAGUCCCUCAUGUCUUGCCUCCUUAACUAGGCCUGGGCCUAACUCUGCUGCUCAGACACAAAGUUAAAUAGCUGGUAUUCCUCAAACUCGUUCACGUAUUCACACACCGAGGCCGACUGUCGAAGCUUUUGCAAAGCCUUGCAGGCCACCCAGGCAACAUUGCCCUGCAAGAACUGCAUCUUCCCAAGAGCUCACCUUGGGCCUUGAAGCAUCAGCCACCCGCAUCCUCUACCAGCGAGGUACAUGGCGCAGACCGCCACACGAUCUUUUUCAUAGGCAUGAGAAGCUUCAAAAUACUGCUCCAUGUCUCAUAAGAAGUUCUCGACCACCUUCGAGUCGUGCUGGCCUUCUAACACUCGAGGCUCUGAUACUCUCACAUUACGAGAUCCCAGCCCUCCGCUAGUUCUCCCAAGGGCGCUCUUGAUCAACAACAAAUCAUCUUGCAUGGACUCGAGCCAUGAGGUGAAAGACUCUGUGAAGGCCUUGACAUCGUCUAUGAGCUCUCCCAUAUGAGCAUCACAGACUCCGCAUCACUCCUCCACCACACCAAACCAGUCCUCCAAGACGGGCAAGGUUUACACCCAACCCUCCAUCUUGGCCUCCUUGGGUAAGUUCCUCCAAUCUCAUAUCUAGAGUUCCCGCACACUCACGCAGGUCGUCCAUCCCACCAUCCAUGCGCAAGGCUUGCUCUGAUACCAGCUGUCACGGGUCACUUUUUUUGCAUUCCACACAUCCGUCAUCUGGCCCUGAUCCUCACUCGAUCCAAGGCUAGAUCAGCCUUCACACACGAUCACACAAUCUAGAAGGUGGGGGUUAGAAGAAAACUAAUCACAAAGCACAUACACAAAAAUAGCAAAGGGCCUCAGCCCAAUUUCACUAAACAGUUUAAAAUGUGUACAAGCCAUGGUUCCUCUUUGGCAAGGGGGUUUUAUAGCCUCACUAUUCAUUUGAUACUCCAACACGUGGAGCCCAUCUACCACACGAUGGGCAGCUGGCUGCCCACUUGCCAUCCACCUCACAAUUGGUUAUGGCCUCACGUGCCAGCUCGUCACACCCCGUCUGCGUGAUCAUCCCAUGUCUCACGCAACGCCCCGUCCACGUGCUGCAACAUUCCACAACUCAUGCCCCGCAACGUCCUGCAACUCACACCCCAUCCGCGUGCUCCACCGUCAAGUCGGCAUGGCCAUCUGAGCGCUCGUUGAGUCGUCACACCCGGCUCACACAUACCUGACCCACCUGACCAAGUCUCACUAAGUCUGGCCCUCACGCUAUCCUGGCCUUGUGGUCUCUGCCAUGUCGGGGCAAGUCCGAGUCUUACGCCCUGGUCUUCGGCCUCCGAUCAUGGAUGUCAUGCCACAUCACCCACCAAAGGGGGCGUGGCGUUUGAAUUUGAAUGGGGCGCCUUCCCACUCAGGCACCCACUCAACCCGCAGCCUACCUUCUGCAAGGGCAGACGCACCUGCCCAGCCACAGGUGCACGGCUUGUCCUUGUGCAAGGUCCACCUAACCUAGUCACCACGUCGAGCCCUUUGCUUGUGCGCACCAUCUCUCACACACAUACCUGCCCAGCCACAGGUACACGGCUCACCUAGGCCCAUGGUCCACUUGACAAUGUUCACCAGGUUGAAUCCCCUAGUUGAGCCCACUUCAAGCCUCCACAGGUGUCUGCCCACCUAGACGGAGCCUUGUCCACUGCUAGCCACCCAUGACCCAAGGCUCUCCCACUCCCCUCAAUUAUAGUAGUAUCAAAAUCCCUGGUCCUGAGGCGUGUCCGCACCUAGAGCCCAACUAGCACAACUUAGUCUUAGGCAGCACGACCCUUACACCAAGGCCGUGCAGCCCCACCAAGCUGCCCCAAGUGCAUACCCAACCCCGCCAAGCUUGAUCCAUACGCCGCCUCAGCCCCAUUGGGCUGAUCCACCCAAGUUGAACUGCACCAAGUCGACCUGCACCAUGCAUCCAUCGCACCUUCAGCAGUCUUACUUGCACAAGGCACCUGCACCAGGUUGCCUUCAUCACACACACAAGUUGCCUAGGCUUAGCAUGCCUCUUGCACUCACCCACUCUGCCUUGACCCUUGUGCAUAUUGGGCUGCCUGCCUAGCCACAGGCCUGCCUUUUACCUGCACACGCCAAGCUGCAUGCACCCCGUGCACCUGGUUGCAUGCACCAACUCGGUGCUUAGGGAAAAAGGGCCGGACAAUAGUUCAAUAGGAAAUAGUUGAUUUUUAAGGGAAUGUUUUGGUACUCUUGAAAAUAAUUAUGUAAAAAGUAUUUUCAAGUGAAAAAAAAUUCCUUUGCGUCAAUUGGUACGGGAGUUUUUUCAUAUCAAAUAGCUAUCAAUUAGUGUCAAAAAAUGCAUUAUGACCGAUUGGCGUGAAAUAACUCUUAUGCCUAGUCAUAUGAGAGAGAUUUUUCGAUUGAAAAUACUUUCAUAAAAGUAUUUUGUGCGUAUUAAACGUGCCCUAAUAAAAUAAAAAAAAAAAACACUAUUACAUUUGAAAUAUUGGUAUGAGAGACGCUUUGGAAACUUAAGGCAAACCCCAAACGGGUGUUCUGUUCAAGGGAAUUAACCAAGUGAACAAAUGCUUGAGCUCACCAUAGACUUCAAGCAAGGCCCGUAUGCGGUGGUCCUGCUAGGACAACAGGCACAUAAGGUGGGACCCUGUCAACCUGAAACUUUUUUGCAUCAUUGAUCUGCCUUGUGAUCAAUUUCAGAGAAGGAUGAUUGUGCUCAAAAUCCACAUAUCUUCCUUUAACGUUCAUAAAAAAUGGGUGGUCCAAAUUCAGCCUUGAGAGGGAAUUUUGAUAGAGCAUUUUUAUAAACCCUCAAAUCAUUUCUAUUUAAACAAAAAAAAUCCUCCAGAGUGAGAUUAAGAGGAAUUGGAAAUUUCACAGGACAAAAUCUCCCUACCUCACAUUUUUUGCAGUAGGGCAAAAUGUUCAACCUCGUCUUAUGGACCAGAACUCCCCUCCCAAUGUACUCGUCUUAGCAUCAUUUUUUAGAGGGAUUGUAUACAAUGAGACCAUCAACCUUUAGUAUUAGAGGAUCUCAAUUUUUUAUAAUCAUCCGACAUAAAAUCUAAUAAUUUGGGUGUAUCACAAACUACAGCCAUCUAAUUUCACAUCCAACGGUCAAGAUUAAUUUUGACCAUCUUAUACCAAAGGUAAAUUGUCUCGUUGUAUAUUUUUUCUUCUUUAUAAACUUUGUUGAAAGAGGACAGCCAAAAUUCUCGAUACAAAUACAAGCCGGAAGUAGAUUCUCA